CCGCCCGUCACAUCACGAAAGUGGGUUGUACUAGAAGUCGCCGCGCAAACCGCAAGGAUGCAAGCGCCCAAGGUAUGACUCAUGAUUGGGGUG
This 93-nucleotide ribosomal RNA is filed under the name uncultured bacterium. RNAcentral's name for it is "partial 16S ribosomal RNA". It matches the Rfam family "Bacterial small subunit ribosomal RNA", at positions 1390 to 1482 of the family's 1533-position model. The record is from RNAcentral.